UGGUGAGGCNACGGCUCACCAAANCNNUUAACCCGGUACGGGGCCGUGGGAGCGGGUGCCCCGGAGAUGNGANCUGAGACNAGGUCCCAGGCCCUACGGGGCGCAGCNGUUGCGAAAACUCGUCAAUGCACGAAAGUGUGAACGGGCUACCCCGAGUGCUGUCCGCUGAGGAUGGCUUUUCUCUGCUGUAAGGAGGCGGAGGAAUAAGGAGAGGGCAAGUCUGGUGUCAGCCGCCGCGGUAAUACCAGCUCUCCGAGUGGUGGGGAUGUUUAUUGGGCUUAAAGCGUCCGUAGCCUGCCCUUCAAGUCUUUCGUUAAAUCCAGCGAUUCAAUCGUUGGACCGCGGGAGAUACUGUUGGGCUAGGGGGCGGGAGAAGCCGACGGUAUUUCCGGGGUAGGGGUAAAAUCCUAUAAUCCCGGGAGGACCACCAGUGGCGUAGGCGGUCGGCUAGCACGUGCUCGACGGUGAGGGACGAAAGCUGGGGGAGCAAACCGGAUUAGAUACCCGGAUAGUCCCAGCUGUAAACGAUGCGGGCUAGGUGUUGGAGUGGCCACGAGCCACUUCAGUGCCGCAGGGAAACCAUUAAGCCCGCCGCCUGGGGAGUACGGCCGCAAGGCUGAAACUUAAAGGAAUUGGCGGGGGA
This 643-nucleotide ribosomal RNA is filed under the name uncultured archaeon. RNAcentral describes it as "bacterial SSU rRNA". It matches the Rfam family "Archaeal small subunit ribosomal RNA", at positions 234 to 875 of the family's 1478-position model. The record is from RNAcentral.